This 420-nucleotide ribosomal RNA is filed under the name Acidobacteriota bacterium. RNAcentral describes it as "Acidobacteria bacterium partial 16S ribosomal RNA". It matches the Rfam family "Bacterial small subunit ribosomal RNA", at positions 355 to 776 of the family's 1533-position model. Lineage: Bacteria; Pseudomonadati; Acidobacteriota. The record is from RNAcentral.
UGGGGAAUAUUGGACAAUGGGCGGAAGCCUGAUCCAGCAACGCCGCGUGAGGGAUGACGGCCUUCGGGUUGUAAACCUCUUUCACCAUUGACGAAGUCGCACUUUUUGUGUGGUGACGGUAGGUGGGGAAGAAGCACCGGCCAACUACGUGCCAGCAGCCGCGGUAAUACGUAGGGUGCGAGCGUUGUCCGGAAUUAUUGGGCGUAAAGGGCUCGUAGGCGGUUUGUCGCGUCGGGAGUGAAAACACUGGGCUUAACUCAGUGCUGGCUUUCGAUACGGGCAGACUAGAGGUAUGCAGGGGAGAACGGAAUUCCUGGUGUAGCGGUGAAAUGCGCAGAUAUCAGGAGGAACACCGGUGGCGAAGGCGGUUCUCUGGGCAUUACCUGACGCUGAGGAGCGAAAGUGUGGGGAGCGAACAGG